Small nuclear RNA from Meriones unguiculatus (Mongolian gerbil), 106 nucleotides. The record is from Ensembl. Lineage: Eukaryota; Metazoa; Chordata; Mammalia; Rodentia; Muridae.
GUGCUCACUUCAGCAACACAUAUACUAAAACUGAAUGAUACAGAGAACAUUAGCAUGGCCCCUGUGCAACAAUGACAUGCAAAUUCUUGAAGCGUUCCAUAUUUUU